UACAGAGGUCUCAAGCGUUGUUCGGAUUCAUUGGGCGUAAAGGGCGCGUAGGCGGCCACCGCAAGUCAAUUGUGAAAUCUCCGGGCUUAACCCGGAAAGGUCAACUGAUACUGCGGGGCUAGAGUGCGGAAGGGGCAACUGGAAUUCUCGGUGUAGCGGUGAAAUGCGUAGAUAUCGAGAGGAACACCUGCGGCGAAGGCGGGUUGCUGGGCCGACACUGACGCUGAUGCGCGAAAGCCAGGGGAGCGAACGGG
RNAcentral lists this ribosomal RNA (254 nucleotides) under uncultured bacterium. Its description in RNAcentral is "partial 16S ribosomal RNA". It matches the Rfam family "Bacterial small subunit ribosomal RNA", at positions 524 to 776 of the family's 1533-position model. The record is from RNAcentral.